Molecule: transfer RNA, 69 nt
Filed under: Marmota monax (woodchuck)
Lineage: Eukaryota; Metazoa; Chordata; Mammalia; Rodentia; Sciuridae
Description: tRNA.Val
Source: RNAcentral
GGAAUGUAGUUCAGUUGGUAGAGUGCUUGCCUCACAUACACAAGUCCCUGGGUUCAGUCUCCAGCACCA